GACGAACGCUGGCGGCGUGCUUAACACAUGCAAGUCGAACGGAAAGGCCUAGCUUGCUGGGUACUCGAGUGGCGAACGGGUGAGUAACACGUGGGUGAUCUGCCCCUGACUUUGGGAUAAGCCUGGGAAACUGGGUCUAAUACCGGAUAUUCAUUUUUCCUCGCAUGGGGAUUUGUGGAAAGCUUUUGCGGUUGGGGAUGGGCCCGCGGCCUAUCAGCUUGUUGGUGGGGUAAUGGCCUACCAAGGCGACGACGGGUAGCCGACCUGAGAGGGUGAUCGGCCACACUGGGACUGAGACACGGCCCAGACGCCUACGGGAGGCAGCAGUGGGGAAUAUUGCACAAUGGGCGCAAGCCUGAUGCAGCGACGCCGCGUGAGGGAUGACGGCCUUCGGGUUGUAAACCUCUUUCAGCUCCGACGAAGCGCAAGUGACGGUAGGAGCAGAAGAAGCACCGGCCAACUACGU
RNAcentral lists this ribosomal RNA (466 nucleotides) under uncultured bacterium. RNAcentral's name for it is "partial 16S ribosomal RNA". It matches the Rfam family "Bacterial small subunit ribosomal RNA", at positions 28 to 506 of the family's 1533-position model. The record is from RNAcentral.